RNAcentral lists this ribosomal RNA (486 nucleotides) under uncultured bacterium. RNAcentral describes it as "bacterial SSU rRNA". It matches the Rfam family "Bacterial small subunit ribosomal RNA", at positions 29 to 507 of the family's 1533-position model. The record is from RNAcentral.
AUGAACGCUAGCGGGAGGCUUAAUACAUGCAAGUCGAGCGGCAAGUUUUGAUAGCAAUAUUGGAACCUAGAGCGGCGCACGGGUGAGUAACGCGUACAUGACCUGCCCUAUACUGGGGGAUAGUCUUGGGAAACUGAGAAUAAUCCCGCAUGUGAUUAGAAUGCUGCAUGGCAAAUUAAUUAAAGCUGAGGCGGUAUAGGAUGGGUGUGCGUCUGAUUAGCUAGUUGGUAGUGUAACGGACUACCAAGGUGAUGAUCAGUAGGGGGCGUGAGAGCGUGACCCCCCCACACGGGUACUGAGACACGGACCCGACUCCUACGGGAGGCAGCAGUAAGGAAUAUUGGUCAAUGGAGGGAACUCUGAACCAGCCAUCCCGCGUGAAGGAUGAAGGGGCUCUGCCUUGUAAGCUUCUUUUGCAUGGGACGAAAAAACUUAAUUUAUUAAGGACUGACGGUACCAUGAGAAUAAGCACCGGCUAACUCCGUG